GCAGUGGUGGUUUAGUGGUAGAAUUCUCACCUUUUGUGUGGGACACCUGGGUUCAAUUCCCCGCCAGUGCA
Molecule: transfer RNA, 71 nt
Filed under: Loxodonta africana (African savanna elephant)
Lineage: Eukaryota; Metazoa; Chordata; Mammalia; Proboscidea; Elephantidae
Rfam family: tRNA
About the family: Transfer RNA (tRNA) molecules are approximately 80 nucleotides in length. Their secondary structure includes four short double-helical elements and three loops (D, anti-codon, and T loops).
Source: Rfam by way of RNAcentral